AGACAGAUAACUAAAUAUAAGUAUGUCAAUUACACUGAUAAAAUGAUUAAAGCUAUCUUUGUCUU
Molecule: transfer RNA, 65 nt
Filed under: Bemisia tabaci
Lineage: Eukaryota; Metazoa; Arthropoda; Insecta; Hemiptera; Aleyrodidae
Description: tRNA-Val
Source: RNAcentral